This 253-nucleotide ribosomal RNA is filed under the name uncultured bacterium. Its description in RNAcentral is "partial 16S ribosomal RNA". It matches the Rfam family "Bacterial small subunit ribosomal RNA", at positions 524 to 776 of the family's 1533-position model. The record is from RNAcentral.
UACGAAGGGGGCUAGCGUUGCCCGGAAUUACUGGGCGUAAAGGGAUCGUAGGCGGAUAGUUUAGUCAGAGGUGAAAUCCCGGGGCUCAACCUCGGAACUGCCUUUGAUACUGGCUAUCUUGAGUAUGGGAGAGGUGUGUGGAACUCCGAGUGUAGAGGUGAAAUUCGUAGAUAUUCGGAAGAACACCAGUGGCGAAGGCGACACACUGGCCCAUUACUGACGCUGAGGCUCGAAAGCGUGGGGAGAAAACAGG